Aedes aegypti (yellow fever mosquito) is the source of this 46-nucleotide non-coding RNA. Lineage: Eukaryota; Metazoa; Arthropoda; Insecta; Diptera; Culicidae. The record is from Rfam.
AAAUCGGCCCUUUUAGGGCCACCGAGUAUUUACUAAAGAGUUGUUU